UACGAACCUGAUGAGCGUUUCUGUGAGACGUUCUGCAUACUCGAAGAGGUUUUGUGUACCGUAGUAAUUAUAUGCAAUAUAAUUAGUAGUAUACAAUUGUAAGCUGAUCACUCACACAAUUUUGAAGAAACUCAGACAAGCCAUUAGGUUUACUUUUUAAAGCUGAUGACUAGAAGACUAGCUAUGACUAGAAGAAAAUUUAAAAAAUCCACAAGUAAUAGCUUCCGUAGUAACGUUACUUUCAAAAACAAUAUCAACAUCUUCGUUAGUAGCGCUGCAUAUUAUGUGCGUGUGACGCUUGAAAGUUAAUCUAAGCUGUGAAAUAUAUGAAUAUAUAAUUCAAAUGUAGAGAAGAAUCUGAAGCGUUCAAAUAUAGUAUAUAUUCCAUAUGUUGUUAUUUGUUAGCUUAAUCUUAUCCAUUCCAUGAUUGCAUCAUAAUCUAGGUUUUUAGAUAUACGAAUGUAAAUGUUAGUUAAUAAAAAAAUUUAUUGAAUAAA
This is a long non-coding RNA of Bombus pascuorum, 497 nucleotides long. RefSeq lists it as uncharacterized. The record is from RefSeq and is a predicted model, not a curated record. The transcript is spliced from 3 exons. Lineage: Eukaryota; Metazoa; Arthropoda; Insecta; Hymenoptera; Apidae.